Non-coding RNA from Aspergillus pseudonomiae, 144 nucleotides. The record is from the annotation of a RefSeq genome assembly. Lineage: Eukaryota; Fungi; Ascomycota; Eurotiomycetes; Eurotiales; Aspergillaceae.
GCCCGGAUGGUCUAGUGGUAUGAUUCUCGCUUGUAAGUCGAACCUGAAAACAUUCGAUCACUAGCCUCGGAUACUAAUAAAAACUCCAGUGGGCUACCAGCACCAAUCUGCGAGAGGCCCCGCGUUCGAAUCGCGGUUCGGGCC